This 488-nucleotide ribosomal RNA is filed under the name uncultured bacterium. RNAcentral's name for it is "partial 16S ribosomal RNA". It matches the Rfam family "Bacterial small subunit ribosomal RNA", at positions 28 to 506 of the family's 1533-position model. The record is from RNAcentral.
GACGAACGCUGGCGGCGUGCUUAACACAUGCAAGUCGAACGGUGAAGGGAUCAGCUUGCUGGUUCUGGAUGAGUGGCGAACGGGUGAGUAACACGUGAGUAACCUGCCCCCUUCUUCUGGAUAACCGCAUGAAAGUGUGGCUAAUACGGGAUAUUCUGCGCCUGCUGCAUGGUGGGUGUGGGAAAGAUAUUGUUUCGGUGGGGGAUGGGCUCGCGGCCUAUCAGCUUGUUGGUGGGGUGAUGGCCUACCAAGGCGGUGACGGGUAGCCGGCCUGAGAGGGUGGACGGUCACACUGGGACUGAGACACGGCCCAGACUCCUACGGGAGGCAGCAGUGGGGAAUAUUGCACAAUGGGCGCAAGCCUGAUGCAGCGACGCCGCGUGAGGGAUGGAGGCCUUCGGGUUGUGAACCUCUUUCGCCAGUGAAGCAGGCCUGUCCCUUGUGGGUGGGUGGACGGUAGCUGGAUAAGAAGCGCCGGCUAACUACGU